This 468-nucleotide ribosomal RNA is filed under the name uncultured bacterium. RNAcentral's name for it is "partial 16S ribosomal RNA". It matches the Rfam family "Bacterial small subunit ribosomal RNA", at positions 28 to 507 of the family's 1533-position model. The record is from RNAcentral.
GACGAACGCUGGCGGCGUGCUUAACACAUGCAAGUCGAACGGAAAGGCGCUGCUUUGGUUGGGUGCUCGAGUGGCGAACGGGUGUGUAACACGUGAGUAACCUGCCCUUGACGGUGGGAUAACUUGAGGGAACUGGGGCUAAUACCUGAGAGGAGAUCGUGAUGCAUGGGGGGGGUUGGAAAGUUUCGGCGGUUGGGGAUGGACUCGCGGCUUAUGAGCUUGUUGGUGGGGUAGGGGCUUACCAAGGCCUUGAAGGGUAGCCGGCCUGAGAGGGUGGCCAGCCCCAUUGGGACUGCGGUACGGCGCAGACUCGUACGGGAGGCAGCGGUGGGAAAUAUUGCACAGUGGGCGGAAGCCUGAUGAGGCAGCGCUGCGUGCGGGAUGCCGGCCUUCGGGUUGUGAACCGCUUUCGCCUGUGACGAAGCGUGAGUGACGGUAAUGGGUGAAGAAGCACCGGCUAACUACGUG